Long non-coding RNA from Anastrepha ludens (Mexican fruit fly), 252 nucleotides. RefSeq lists it as uncharacterized. Lineage: Eukaryota; Metazoa; Arthropoda; Insecta; Diptera; Tephritidae. The record is from RefSeq and is a predicted model, not a curated record. The transcript is spliced from 3 exons.
GUUGAUACACACAUUUUGUGUCUUGCCUUCGAGGGUUUUUUGCAGAGACGUCAAAACUUGUGGCAGCGAUGAUUCAUAGGUUUGCGAAUUUUUCGUAGUUUUCGUUAUUUGGAAAAACCAAUUUAUUACCACACAAUUCGAAUUAGCUUAAAAACUUGCAAUGUUUUAUAUGCACGUAACGGGAAAUCACUGAAGUUACACUUUGCCAUGACAAUUACGUAGAAGCAAGAUACAAAUAAUUAAAGACUAAAA